AGCGCGGGAGAGUUCGGUAAUCGAUCACGAUAUACCGGCGCCGAAGGAGCAACGACCCCGGAAUCUCUCAGGCCACCGAACCGCC
Molecule: non-coding RNA, 85 nt
Filed under: uncultured Spiribacter sp.
Lineage: Bacteria; Pseudomonadati; Pseudomonadota; Gammaproteobacteria; Chromatiales; Ectothiorhodospiraceae
Description: Glycine riboswitch
Rfam family: Glycine riboswitch aptamer
About the family: This family represents the bacterial glycine riboswitch. Glycine riboswitches usually consist of two metabolite-binding aptamers domains with similar structures in tandem.
Source: RNAcentral